AGUUGAUAGAAGUCAUUUCAAGCUUCAGGAAGUCCUGGGGUGGGAAGGAGCAUACAGAGCAUUGCAAAGAGGGCUCCCUUGUGGGAGCGGUUGGGUAGCUGCCAAAUUUCUAAUAAGAAAUGAAUUUGCUUUUAUUUAAAGAAGGAAAUGGUACUUUCCCUCCUAAUAGAGGAAGGAAAGGCUGUCUCUUUAGGCUUGGGUCACCAGCACCGCCUCUGCUUUGACUGGAGGGUAACUGGGGUGAGGAACAAAAACGACAAACACAGGGCUUGUCAUAGAGAUCCUGCCAGUUGAAGUAACUUAUAUUCUUCAAGAAGAAUCCAUAAAGAUUCCUCCCUGCAUGCUUCCCUAACAUAUUACAUUGAGAGAUGGGACUUGUGUUUUUUCCGUUAUUAUGGAUGGGCCUGAGAUGAAGAAAGGACCAAGUCUAUCUACUGUCCAAAGUCAGGAUAUGUACAAAGCAAUGCAUGGGAUGGGCAUCUGGCCUGGUGGUUAAGAUGUAUUUUAAUAUGUCUGCAUUGCACAUCACAGUGCCUGGGUAAAAGUCCCAGCUCUACUCCAAAUUUCUAACGUGAACUGUGGAAGGCAAUGUCAAUGGCUCAAGGAAUUAGGUUCCUUCCACCUAUGUGGAAGAAUUGCUCUUAUUUGACCCUGCCCAUUUCCAGCCAUUGCUGGCAUUUAGGGAGUAAAAUAGUACAUCCCCUCAAAUAUAUUAAUUUUUAAAAAGGCAACACAACUUCCUGCUGGUCUGUUUGGGAUAUUUACUCUGAAAUCCAGUUACAAUAUCUAGGUUUUAUUUCUCUCCACUGAGAACUUAGACAUCAUGGAGCAGACACAAAUCACUACUGUAAAACCCUGUUCUGGGCUUUCAUGACCAGUGUUGCUCUGCUUUGCCCAGUGAAUUUAGGAUUGAAUUAUCUAGAAAGGGAAGGAGAUAGGAAUAGAUCAUGGAGAUGUGAAGUCAGGUUCAUAUUUUGGUAUGGCUGCUUACAAAGCAUGUCUCUGCCUUCCUGUUAAAUCAGGGCUCUCAGUUCCUCAUGUUUAAAGUGUGGGUGAUCACAGAGGUGCCAGCCAUUGGGCUUCUUGUGAGGGGUGCAUGUUAACAUUUGCCCUUCAUUCAUCUUACAUCCUUUUCCAAAUUGACACAGAUAGACUUGUUGCUAGUAGCCAGCUUUUUUUUUUUUAAUUAUCUUUAUAUACCCAGUGCAUAGCACAUAGUAAGCUUCCCAUAAAGAUUUAUAUAAGAAAUAAGUCAGCCAAAAAAACUUAUAAAUUGUAAAAUGCCACGUGAAUGAUGGCUGUGAAUAUCAAAGUUUUCUCUCUAUGAAAUAUUCAAAUACACACAGAUAUAUUUAUAUAAAGCAUUUAAAAAGCUUAAUACUUGAUGUUUAGCCCAGUUCUUGGAAUAAGAUAGGCUUUCCAGAAUUAUGAAUAAUCAGCUGAAUGAAUACCUAGAUAUGUGGAUUUAUAAACAAUAACUAACUCAUAGAUGCUUAUAAAGGAGGAUAUUCUGAAUUGAUUUACUAUUUUAGACCUUGUGCAGAUGGAAAUCACUGAGAGUUGCAUGUGAAUUAAAUGGGAGAAGUACUUGACCACUCACAUAGCACAAAAGAGAUGAGAUAUUUGCCAGUUCUUUGGUUGAAUGGAUUAUUUAGAUGUCACAAAUUGAAAGUUUAGAUUAAGAACUGUGAUAUGCUGUAAGAAACUGAAUGUGAUUGUUAUAUUGGUAAUUUUUGCAACAGUUUUGCAGUAUGCUACAAAUUGAAGUUCAAAUUUCUAAGAAUGAUAUUCCGAGUGUUUCCCCAUCUGCCUGAAACCUACGUCUUCAGCCUCAUAUGGCAUUUCCUUAUCAAAUAAAGAUCUGUAUUUCAUUUUUUAUAUAUGGUCA
Long non-coding RNA from Oryctolagus cuniculus (rabbit), 1888 nucleotides. The record is from Ensembl. Lineage: Eukaryota; Metazoa; Chordata; Mammalia; Lagomorpha; Leporidae.